CAUGGACUCAUGUUCACGCAUGACAGUACCACCGCGGCUGAACCAGGCAAGGGCGAUUCGCCGAAUCUCUAACCCCCUCUAUCAAAUCUGUGGCCACAGGGAGACACCUCUCGACCACCUCUUAUGAUUCCCACACCAAGCACUCUGUUUCCCAUUCGAGAUCGAGCACACGGACCUCGCAAAACUCCAUCGACCGAGCUUCCUUCCAUGGCCAACUCCGGCAACUGAUUCGAGCUCCCCAGCAAAAUCGAUCUCGCUGGAGCAUACCAUCGCCGCCGCCUGUUCAUCCGCUCACCGUCAUCGCUAGAGGACGCAUCGGAACUCCCUGAGUACACCAAAGGACUCCCCAUGAACCUCCUCGUCUUCCAGCAUCUUCAUCGAUCUCUUAUGGGCACCAGAAACGACGUUGUUGCCGAUCAGAGCCGCGCCCUCACCGUCUCCUCUGUUGCGGUGAGAAAUCCUCAAGCAAAAAGAAUGUAGCCACGUGGCCUGAUCCAUGCCAUCCACUGCCACUUAAAUCAUGAGGUCCAUAUUUAAUCCAGUCAGAAACCGAUAAGCCCCUACAACUUCAGGCCAUCAUAUCUCUUCAACCGUAGCUCCAAUUGAG
Long non-coding RNA from Triticum dicoccoides, 607 nucleotides. RefSeq lists it as uncharacterized. The transcript is spliced from 3 exons. The record is from RefSeq and is a predicted model, not a curated record. Lineage: Eukaryota; Viridiplantae; Streptophyta; Magnoliopsida; Poales; Poaceae.